Molecule: ribosomal RNA, 931 nt
Filed under: Stilbospora macrosperma
Lineage: Eukaryota; Fungi; Ascomycota; Sordariomycetes; Diaporthales; Stilbosporaceae
Description: eukaryotic LSU rRNA
Rfam family: Eukaryotic large subunit ribosomal RNA
Source: RNAcentral
GUUGACCUCGGAUCAGGUAGGAAUACCCGCUGAACUUAAGCAUAUCAAUAAGCGGAGGAAAAGAAACCAACAGGGAUUGCCCUAGUAACGGCGAGUGAAGCGGCAACAGCUCAAAUUUGAAAUCUGGCCUCGGCCCGAGUUGUAAUUUGCAGAGGAUGCUUUUGGCGCGGUGCCUUCCGAGUUCCCUGGAACGGGACGCCACAGAGGGUGAGAGCCCCGUAUGGUUGGACACCUAGCCUGUGUAAAGCUCCUUCGACGAGUCGAGUAGUUUGGGAAUGCUGCUCAAAAUGGGAGGUAAAUCUCUUCUAAAGCUAAAUACCGGCCAGAGACCGAUAGCGCACAAGUAGAGUGAUCGAAAGAUGAAAAGCACCUUGAAAAGGGGGUUAAACAGUACGUGAAAUUGUUGAAAGGGAAGCGCUUGUGACCAGACUUGCGCCGGGCGGCUCAUCCGGGGUUCUCCCCGGUGCACUCCGCCCGGCUCAGGCCAGCAUCGGUUCUCGUGGGGGGAUAAGACUGGUGGGAACGUAGCACCCUCCGGGGUGUGUUAUAGCCCGCCUGACGAUACCCCCGUGGGGACCGAGGUUCGCGCUCCGCAAGGAUGCUGGCGUAAUGGUCAUCAGCGACCCGUCUUGAAACACGGACCAAGGAGUCGUCCAUUAUAGCGAGCGUUUGGGUGUAAAACCCGCACGCGUAAUGAAAGUGAAAUUAGGUGAGAGCUUCGGCGCAUCAUCGACCGAUCCUGAUGUUCUCGGAUGGAUUUGAGUAAGAGUUAUAACGGACGGACCCGAAAGACAGUGAACUAUGCUUGUAUAGGGUGAAGCCAGAGGAAACUCUGGUGGAGGCUCGCAGCGGUUCUGACGUGCAAAUCGAUCGUCAAAUAUGAGCAUGGGGGCGAAAGACUAAUCGAACUGUCUAGUAGCUGGUUACCGCC